Molecule: non-coding RNA, 23 nt
Filed under: Arabidopsis thaliana (thale cress)
Lineage: Eukaryota; Viridiplantae; Streptophyta; Magnoliopsida; Brassicales; Brassicaceae
Source: RNAcentral
AACUUAUUUACAAUGGCUGCCAC